Molecule: long non-coding RNA, 263 nt
Organism: Suricata suricatta (meerkat)
Lineage: Eukaryota; Metazoa; Chordata; Mammalia; Carnivora; Herpestidae
Exons: 4
Source: RefSeq, a predicted model, not a curated record
GUGAGGAAGCUGCUUGUUUGUCUGAUGGCUUGAGCAACCUAGGGGCAUUUUCCAGCCACGUCCUCUUACUCUGGAGGGUCAGAAUAUAAUGAUAAAUGUCUACAGGAUGAGGUGAAGCGAGUGAAUGUCGCGGGCACUGUGACAUACCUAUCGCACCGUAUCAGGAAGAUCGUGCGCUUCUGGACUGCAGUCCAACCCAGAGAUGGUGCUUUCCUCCUUGCCGUGCAUAACUGCUGUGUGCACAGGAUGAGUAUCUACCCGAG